GAUGAACGCUGGCGGCGUGCCUAAUACAUGCAAGUCGAGCGAACAGAUGAGAAGCUUGCUCCUCUGACGUUAGCGGCGGACGGGUGAGUAACACGUGGAUAACCUACCUAUAAGACUGGGAUAACUUCGGGAAACCGUAGCUAAUACCGGAUAAUAUAUUGAACCGCAUGGUUCAAUAGUGAAAGACGGUUUUGCUGUCACUUAUAGAUGGAUCCGCGCCGCAUUAGCUAGUUGGUAAGGUAACGGCUUACCAAGGCAACGAUGCGUAGCCGACCUGAGAGGGUGAUCGGCCACACUGGAACUGAGACACGGUCCAGACUCCUACGGGAGGCAGCAGUAGGGAAUCUUCCGCAAUGGGCGAAAGCCUGACGGAGCAACGCCGCGUGAGUGAUGAAGGUCUUCGGAUCGUAAAACUCUGUUAUUAGGGAAGAACAAAUGUGUAAGUAACUGUGCACGUCUUGACGGUACCUAAUCAGAAAGCCACGGCUAACUACGUG
This 497-nucleotide ribosomal RNA is filed under the name uncultured bacterium. RNAcentral describes it as "partial 16S ribosomal RNA". It matches the Rfam family "Bacterial small subunit ribosomal RNA", at positions 28 to 507 of the family's 1533-position model. The record is from RNAcentral.